This 305-nucleotide ribosomal RNA is filed under the name uncultured bacterium. Its description in RNAcentral is "bacterial SSU rRNA". It matches the Rfam family "Bacterial small subunit ribosomal RNA", at positions 335 to 658 of the family's 1533-position model. The record is from RNAcentral.
GUCCUACGGGAGGCAGCAGUGGGGGAUAUUGCACAAUGGGGGCAACCCUGAUGCAGCGACGCCGCGUGAGCGAUGGAGUACUUCGGUAUGUAAAGCUCUGUCAGCAGGGAAGAGAAUGACGGUACCUGACCAAGAAGCCCCGGCUAAAUACGUGCCAGCAGCCGCGGUAAUACGUAUGGGGCAAGCGUUAUCCGGAUUUACUGGGUGUAAAGGGAGCGUAGACGGCGUGCCAAGUCUGAUGUGAAAGGCCGGGGCUCAACCCCGGGACUGCAUUGGAAACUGGCAUGCUGGAGUGCCGGAGGGGC